RNAcentral lists this long non-coding RNA (1071 nucleotides) under Malus domestica (apple). RNAcentral's name for it is "long non-coding RNA (MDOM_LNC017950)". Lineage: Eukaryota; Viridiplantae; Streptophyta; Magnoliopsida; Rosales; Rosaceae. The record is from RNAcentral.
GUACAACCUGUACUCUAAUAUCAUUUGGCAACUUGCCAUUCAUGCCACCAACCAGGUGAAGAAGGAACUCAUCUUCAUGCCACAAACUAGGUGAUGAAAUGUACAACCCGUACUCUCCUUCAUGCCACCAACUAGGUGAUGAAAUGUACAACCAGUACUCUAAUAUCAUUUGGCAACUUGCCACUCAUGCCACCAACGAGGUGAAGAAUGAACUCAUCUUCAUGCCACCAAACAGGUGAUGAAAUGUACAACCCGUACUUUCCUUCAUGCCACCAACCAAGUGAUAAAAUGUACAACCCGUACUUUGAUAUCAUUUGGCAACUUGCCAUUCAUGCCACCAACCAGGUGAAGAAGGAACUCAUCAUCGUGCCACCAACCAGGUGAUGAAAUAUGAUGAAGGAACUCACAUUCGUACCACCAACCAAGUGAUGAAAGCAACUCACCAUUCAUUCCACCUACCAGAAGAUGAGUGGUACAACUUUUACAUGUGAACUCUUAGCAUUCACAAAUAAUCAAAAACCCUCAAGCUUGACAACUCAACUAGGGGAGCACUUAUGCCCAAUAAGAGUUAUAGUCACCAACAAAGUCUUAUUGCAAGCCCACAACAACUUCAGUGCAUGGCAUACGAAGAUCAAGCUAUUCAGCCCUCUUGAAUCUGCUUUAGACAUUGCUCCUUUGUAACAAUGCAAACACUACAACUCGUAGAAAGCUUCACACACUCUUGAUCAAAACUGUGUGAAGCAAAACCAAUUUAUGGUGCCAAUAAGAGCUUCAUCAAUGAAGGGCAACCACAAUUCUCAAAAGCUUCACACACUCUUGAUCAAGACAGUGUGAAGCAAAACCAAUUUAUGGUGCCAACAAGAGCUUCAUCAAUGGAGGGAAACCACAAUUCUCAAAAGCUUCACACACUCUUGAUCAAGGCAGUGUGAAGCAAAACCAAUUUAUGGUGCCAACAAAAGCUUCAUCAAAGGAGUUCAACCACAAUUCUCAAAAGCUUCACACACUAUUGAUCAAGAUAGUGUGAAGCAAAACCAAUUUAUGGUGCCAACAAGAGCUUCAUCAAUGGAGGGC